UACGAAGGGGGCUAGCGUUGCUCGGAAUGACUGGGCGUAAAGGGCGCGUAGGCGGUUUGUACAGUCAGGUGUGAAAUCCCCGGGCUCAACCCGGGAACUGCGUCCGAUACUGGCAGGCUUGAAUCCGGGAGAGGGAUGCGGAAUUCCAGGUGUAGCGGUGAAAUGCGUAGAUAUCUGGAGGAACACCGGUGGCGAAGGCGGCAUCCUGGACCGAGAUUGACGCUGAGGCGCGAAAGCCAGGGGAGCAAACGGG
Molecule: ribosomal RNA, 253 nt
Filed under: uncultured bacterium
Lineage: Bacteria
Description: partial 16S ribosomal RNA
Rfam family: Bacterial small subunit ribosomal RNA
Source: RNAcentral